UAAGCGACUAAGCGUACACGGUGGAUGCCCUGGCAGUCAGAGGCGAUGAAGGACGUGCUAAUCUGCGAUAAGCGUCGGUAAGGUGAUAUGAACCGUUAUAACCGGCGAUUUCCGAAUGGGGAAACCCAGUGUGUUUCGACACACUAUCAUUAACUGAAUCCAUAGGUUAAUGAGGCGAACCGGGGGAACUGAAACAUCUAAGUACCCCGAGGAAAAGAAAUCAACCGAGAUUCCCCCAGUAGCGGCGAGCGAACGGGGAGCAGCCCAGAGCCUGAAUCAGUAUGUGUGUUAGUGGAAGCGUCUGGAAAGGCGCGCGAUACAGGGUGACAGCCCCGUACACAAAAAUGCACAUAUUGUGAGCUCGAUGAGUAGGGCGGGACACGUGGUAUCCUGUCUGAAUAUGGGGGGACCAUCCUCCAAGGCUAAAUACUCCUGACUGACCGAUAGUGAACCAGUACCGUGAGGGAAAGGCGAAAAGAACCCCGGCGAGGGGAGUGAAAAAGAACCUGAAACCGUGUACGUACAAGCAGUGGGAGCACGCUUAGGCGUGUGACUGCGUACCUUUUGUAUAAUGGGUCAGCGACUUAUAUUCUGUAGCAAGGUUAACCGAAUAGGGGAGCCGAAGGGAAACCGAGUCUUAACUGGGCGUUAAGUUGCAGGGUAUAGACCCGAAACCCGGUGAUCUAGCCAUGGGCAGGUUGAAGGUUGGGUAACACUAACUGGAGGACCGAACCGACUAAUGUUGAAAAAUUAGCGGAUGACUUGUGGCUGGGGGUGAAAGGCCAAUCAAACCGGGAGAUAGCUGGUUCUCCCCGAAAGCUAUUUAGGUAGCGCCUCGUGAAUUCAUCUCCGGGGGUAGAGCACUGUUUCGGCAAGGGGGUCAUCCCGACUUACCAACCCGAUGCAAACUGCGAAUACCGGAGAAUGUUAUCACGGGAGACACACGGCGGGUGCUAACGUCCGUCGUGAAGAGGGAAACAACCCAGACCGCCAGCUAAGGUCCCAAAGUCAUGGUUAAGUGGGAAACGAUGUGGGAAGGCCCAGACAGCCAGGAUGUUGGCUUAGAAGCAGCCAUCAUUUAAAGAAAGCGUAAUAGCUCACUGGUCGAGUCGGCCUGCGCGGAAGAUGUAACGGGGCUAAACCAUGCACCGAAGCUGCGGCAGCGACACUAUGUGUUGUUGGGUAGGGGAGCGUUCUGUAAGCCUGUGAAGGUGUGCUGUGAGGCAUGCUGGAGGUAUCAGAAGUGCGAAUGCUGACAUAAGUAACGAUAAAGCGGGUGAAAAGCCCGCUCGCCGGAAGACCAAGGGUUCCUGUCCAACGUUAAUCGGGGCAGGGUGAGUCGACCCCUAAGGCGAGGCCGAAAGGCGUAGUCGAUGGGAAACAGGUUAAUAUUCCUGUACUUGGUGUUACUGCGAAGGGGGGACGGAGAAGGCUAUGUUGGCCGGGCGACGGUUGUCCCGGUUUAAGCGUGUAGGCUGGUUUUCCAGGCAAAUCCGGAAAAUCAAGGCUGAGGCGUGAUGACGAGGCACUACGGUGCUGAAGCAACAAAUGCCCUGCUUCCAGGAAAAGCCUCUAAGCAUCAGGUAACAUCAAAUCGUACCCCAAACCGACACAGGUGGUCAGGUAGAGAAUACCAAGGCGCUUGAGAGAACUCGGGUGAAGGAACUAGGCAAAAUGGUGCCGUAACUUCGGGAGAAGGCACGCUGAUAUGUAGGUGAAGUCCCUCGCGGAUGGAGCUGAAAUCAGUCGAAGAUACCAGCUGGCUGCAACUGUUUAUUAAAAACACAGCACUGUGCAAACACGAAAGUGGACGUAUACGGUGUGACGCCUGCCCGGUGCCGGAAGGUUAAUUGAUGGGGUCAGCGCAAGCGAAGCUCUUGAUCGAAGCCCCGGUAAACGGCGGCCGUAACUAUAACGGUCCUAAGGUAGCGAAAUUCCUUGUCGGGUAAGUUCCGACCUGCACGAAUGGCGUAAUGAUGGCCAGGCUGUCUCCACCCGAGACUCAGUGAAAUUGAACUCGCUGUGAAGAUGCAGUGUACCCGCGGCAAGACGGAAAGACCCCGUGAACCUUUACUAUAGCUUGACACUGAACAUUGAGCCUUGAUGUGUAGGAUAGGUGGGAGGCUUGGAAGUGUGGACGCCAGUCUGCAUGGAGCCGACCUUGAAAUACCACCCUUUAAUGUUUGAUGUUCUAACGUUGACCCGUAAUCCGGGUUGCGGACAGUGUCUGGUGGGUAGUUUGACUGGGGCGGUCUCCUCCUAAAGAGUAACGGAGGAGCACGAAGGUUGGCUAAUCCUGGUCGGACAUCAGGAGGUUAGUGCAAUGGCAUAAGCCAGCUUGACUGCGAGCGUGACGGCGCGAGCAGGUGCGAAAGCAGGUCAUAGUGAUCCGGUGGUUCUGAAUGGAAGGGCCAUCGCUCAACGGAUAAAAGGUACUCCGGGGAUAACAGGCUGAUACCGCCCAAGAGUUCAUAUCGACGGCGGUGUUUGGCACCUCGAUGUCGGCUCAUCACAUCCUGGGGCUGAAGUAGGUCCCAAGGGUAUGGCUGUUCGCCAUUUAAAGUGGUACGCGAGCUGGGUUUAGAACGUCGUGAGACAGUUCGGUCCCUAUCUGCCGUGGGCGCUGGAGAACUGAGGGGGGCUGCUCCUAGUACGAGAGGACCGGAGUGGACGCAUCACUGGUGUUCGGGUUGUCAUGCCAAUGGCACUGCCCGGUAGCUAAAUGCGGAAGAGAUAAGUGCUGAAAGCAUCUAAGCACGAAACUUGCCCCGAGAUGAGUUCUCCCUGACCCUUUAAGGGUCCUGAAGGAACGUUGAAGACGACGACGUUGAUAGGCCGGGUGUGUAAGCGCAGCGAUGCGUUGAGCUAACCGGUACUAAUGAACCGUGAGGCUUAACCU
Molecule: ribosomal RNA, 2899 nt
Filed under: Escherichia coli 2-052-05_S3_C1
Lineage: Bacteria; Pseudomonadati; Pseudomonadota; Gammaproteobacteria; Enterobacterales; Enterobacteriaceae
Description: bacterial LSU rRNA
Rfam family: Bacterial large subunit ribosomal RNA
Source: RNAcentral